Long non-coding RNA from Lathyrus oleraceus (garden pea), 470 nucleotides. RefSeq lists it as uncharacterized. Lineage: Eukaryota; Viridiplantae; Streptophyta; Magnoliopsida; Fabales; Fabaceae. The record is from RefSeq and is a predicted model, not a curated record. The transcript is spliced from 2 exons.
UCGCUCUUUCUCCUUCAACAAUCUCUCUCUGCUCUAGAGGCUUGAGCGCAGACAUGGAUUAGAACUUUAGUUUGAACCUCUAAUGGAGCUUUGAAGUGUGUGGUAGAGGAAAAUUUUGGAUAAUUUUUGCAGAGUAUUUUUUGUAUCUUCUGCUUUUUCUGUAACUCGGUUUUGGCUGAUUUUAUAAAUGUAGAUGUGUGAAAAAUUAGGGUAGAAUUAAGAGGGAAUUAGGAUGAGGUUUGGGGGGACAAACAAUUGAUAUUGGAGGGAAUUGAUUGAUGAUCCAUGUGAGCAUUUUUUUGCAAUCCAAGUGAAGUUUUAUUGUGAACUAUUGAUUAGAUGCUUGAUGAAAUUUUAAUGUAAUUCUAUUUGAAAAUUUUGUUAGUUGUAAUGUGAGUUUAGAGGUUUUAGUUUCAUUGGAUUUUGUUUGUGAAGUUUGAAUGAAAUGAAUAUGGUGAAUUUAUUAUGAA